AACUUUCAGCAAUGGAUCACUUGGCUCUCGCAUCGAUGAAGAACGCAGCGAAAUGCGAUAAGUAAUGUGAAUUGCAGAUCUACAGUGAAUCAUCGAAUCUUUGAACGCACCUUGCGCUCCUCGGUGUUCCGAGGAGCAUGCCUGUUUGAGCGUCAGUAAAUUCUCAACCCCUCUCGAUUUACUUCGAUAGGGCGCUUGGACACUGGGGGCUGCCGGAGACCAAGACUUUUCGUCUAGGACUCGGGCUCUCCUGAAAUGAAUAGGCUUGCGGUCGGCUUUCGACUUUGCAUGACAAGGCUUUUGGCGUGAUAAUGAUCGCCGUUCGCUGAAGUGCAUGAAUGAAUGGUCCCGUGCCUCUAACACGUCGACGCCUUCUGGCGUCUUCCUUAUUGACUUUUGACCUCAAAUCAGGUAGGACUACCCGCUGAACUUAAGCAUAUCAAUAAGCGGAGGCU
RNAcentral lists this unclassified non-coding RNA (455 nucleotides) under uncultured Suillus. Its description in RNAcentral is "sequence contains ITS2". The stretch from base 1 to 155 matches the Rfam family "5.8S ribosomal RNA". The record is from RNAcentral. Lineage: Eukaryota; Fungi; Basidiomycota; Agaricomycetes; Boletales; Suillaceae.